Molecule: ribosomal RNA, 175 nt
Filed under: Trichoderma harzianum
Lineage: Eukaryota; Fungi; Ascomycota; Sordariomycetes; Hypocreales; Hypocreaceae
Also listed under: 1 other name
Source: RNAcentral
CAACCCUCGAACCCCUCCGGGGGUCCGGCGUUGGGGAUCGGGAACCCCUAAGACGGGAUCCCGGCCCCGAAAUACAGUGGCGGUCUCGCCGCAGCCUCUCAUGCGCAGUAGUUUGCACAACUCGCACCGGGAGCGCGGCGCGUCCACGUCCGUAAAACACCCAACUUCUGAAAUG